AACGAACGCUGGCGGCAGGCCUAACACAUGCAAGUCGAACGCCGUAGCAAUACGGAGUGGCAGACGGGUGAGUAACGCGUGGGAACAUACCCUCCGGUUCGGAAUAACUCAGGGAAACUUGAGCUAAUACCGGAUACGUCCAAGGUCUUAAUCGGCCUUGGAGAAAGAUUUAUCGCCGGAGGAUUGGCCCGCGUCUGAUUAGCUUGUUGGUGAGGUAAUGGCUCACCAAGGCGACGAUCAGUAGCUGGUCUGAGAGGAUGAUCAGCCACAUUGGGACUGAGACACGGCCCAAACUCCUACGGGAGGCAGCAGUGGGGAAUAUUGGACAAUGGGCGCAAGCCUGAUCCAGCCAUGCCGCGUGAGUGAUGAAGCCUUAGGG
This 379-nucleotide ribosomal RNA is filed under the name uncultured bacterium. Its description in RNAcentral is "bacterial SSU rRNA". It matches the Rfam family "Bacterial small subunit ribosomal RNA", at positions 29 to 421 of the family's 1533-position model. The record is from RNAcentral.